CCUACGGGGGGCUGCAGUGGGGAAUAUUGCACAAUGGGCGAAAGCCUGAUGCAGCAACGCCGCGUGCGGGAUGACGGCCUUCGGGUUGUAAACCGCUUUCAGUAGGGACGAAGCGAAAGUGACGGUACCUACAGAAGAAGGACCGGCUAACUACGUGCCAGCAGCCGCGGUGAUACGUAGGGUCCAAGCGUUGUCCGGAAUUAUUGGGCGUAAAGGGCUUGUAGGCGGUCCGUCGCGUCAGAAGUGAAAACUCAGGGCUUAACCCUGAGCCUGCUUUUGAUACGGGCGGACUAGAGGAAUGCAGGGGAGAACGGAAUUCCUGGUGGAGCGGUGGAAUGCGCAGAUAUCAGGAGGAACACCGGUGGCGAAGGCGGUUCUCUGGGCAUUACCUGACGCUGAGAAGCGAAAGCGUGGGGAGCAAACAGGCUUAGAUACCCGUGUAGUC
Molecule: ribosomal RNA, 445 nt
Filed under: uncultured Friedmanniella sp.
Lineage: Bacteria; Bacillati; Actinomycetota; Actinomycetes; Propionibacteriales; Nocardioidaceae
Description: bacterial SSU rRNA
Rfam family: Bacterial small subunit ribosomal RNA
Source: RNAcentral